This 253-nucleotide ribosomal RNA is filed under the name uncultured bacterium. RNAcentral describes it as "partial 16S ribosomal RNA". It matches the Rfam family "Bacterial small subunit ribosomal RNA", at positions 524 to 776 of the family's 1533-position model. The record is from RNAcentral.
UACGUAGGGUGCGAGCGUUAAUCGGAAUUACUGGGCGUAAAGCGUGCGCAGGCGGUUCGUUGUGUCGGUGGUGAAAGCCCCGGGCUCAACCUGGGAAUGGCAAUGGAUACUGGCAAGCUAGAGUGCGGUAGAGGGUAGUGGAAUUCCCGGUGUAGCGGUGAAAUGCGUAGAGAUCGGGAGGAACACCAGUGGCGAAGGCGGCUACCUGGACCAGCACUGACACUGAGGCACGAAAGCGUGGGGAGCAAACAGG